UGAGUCCAAGAAAUCAACCGAGAUUCCGGUAGUAGCGGCGAGCGAACCUGGAUUAGCCCUUAAGCACUCGGUGAAGUAGGUGAACAAGCUGGAAAGCUUGGCGAUACAGGGUGAUAGCCCCGUAACCGACGCUUCAUCGAGCGUGAAAUCGAGUAGGGCGGGACACGUGAUAUCCUGUCUGAAUAUGGGGGGACCAUCCUCCAAGGCUAAAUACUCCUGACUGACCGAUAGUGAACCAGUACCGUGAGGGAAAGGCGAAAAGAACCCCUGUGAGGGGAGUGAAAUAGAACCUGAAACCGUGUACGUACAAGCAGUAGGAGCACCUUCGUGGUGUGACUGCGUACCUUUUGUAUAAUGGGUCAGCGACUUAUAUUCAGUGGCAAGGUUAACCGUAUAGGGGAGCCGUAGCGAAAGCGAGUCUUAACUGGGCGCUCAGUCUCUGGAUAUAGACCCGAAACCGGGUGAUCUAGCCAUGGGCAGGUUGAAGGUUGAGUAACAUCAACUGGAGGACCGAACCGACUAAUGUUGAAAAAUUAGCGGAUGACUUGUGGCUAGGGGUGAAAGGCCAAUCAAACUCGGAGAUAGCUGGUUCUCCCCGAAAGCUAUUUAGGUAGCGCCUCGGACGAAUACUACUGGGGGUAGAGCACUGUUAAGGCUAGGGGGUCAUCCCGACUUACCAACCCUUUGCAAACUCCGAAUACCAGUAAGUACUAUCCGGGAGACACACGGCGGGUGCUAACGUCCGUCGUGGAGAGGGAAACAACCCAGACCGCCAGCUAAGGUCCCAAAGUAUUGCUAAGUGGGAAACGAUGUGGGAAGGCUCAGACAGCUAGGAUGUUGGCUUAGAAGCAGCCAUCAUUUAAAGAAAGCGUAAUAGCUCACUAGUCGAGUCGGCCUGCGCGGAAGAUGUAACGGGGCUAAGCAAUACACCGAAGCUGCGGCAAUAUCUUUUAGAUAUUGGGUAGGGGAGCGUUCUGUAAGCCGUUGAAGGUGAAUCGUAAGGUUUGCUGGAGGUAUCAGAAGUGCGAAUGCUGACAUGAGUAACGACAAAGGGGGUGAAAAACCUCCUCGCCGGAAGACCAAGGGUUCCUGUCCAACGUUAAUCGGGGCAGGGUGAGUCGACCCCUAAGGUGAGGCCGAAAGGCGUAAUCGAUGGGAAACGGGUUAAUAUUCCCGUACUUCUGACUAUUGCGAUGGGGGGACGGAGAAGGCUAGGUGGGCCAGGCGACGGUUGUCCUGGUUCAAGUGCGUAGGCUUGAGAGUUAGGUAAAUCCGGCUCUCUCUAAGGCUGAGACACGACGUCGAGCUGCUACGGCAGUGAAGUCAUUGAUGCCAUGCUUCCAGGAAAAGCCUCUAAGCUUCAGAUAGUCAGGAAUCGUACCCCAAACCGACACAGGUGGUCGGGUAGAGAAUACCAAGGCGCUUGAGAGAACUCGGGUGAAGGAACUAGGCAAAAUGGUACCGUAACUUCGGGAGAAGGUACGCUCUUGAUGGUGAAGUCCCUCGCGGAUGGAGCUGACGAGAGUCGCAGAUACCAGGUGGCUGCAACUGUUUAUUAAAAACACAGCACUGUGCAAAAUCGCAAGAUGACGUAUACGGUGUGACGCCUGCCCGGUGCCGGAAGGUUAAUUGAUGGGGUUAGCGCAAGCGAAGCUCUUGAUCGAAGCCCCGGUAAACGGCGGCCGUAACUAUAACGGUCCUAAGGUAGCGAAAUUCCUUGUCGGGUAAGUUCCGACCUGCACGAAUGGCGUAAUGAUGGCCACGCUGUCUCCACCCGAGACUCAGUGAAAUUGAAAUCGCUGUGAAGAUGCAGUGUACCCGCGGCUAGACGGAAAGACCCCGUGAACCUUUACUACAGCUUGGCACUGAACAUUGAACCUACAUGUGUAGGAUAGGUGGGAGGCUAUGAAGACGUGACGCCAGUUGCGUUGGAGCCGUCCUUGAAAUACCACCCUUGUAUGUUUGAUGUUCUAACUUAGACCCAUUAUCUGGGUUGAGGACAGUGCCUGGUGGGUAGUUUGACUGGGGCGGUCUCCUCCCAAAGAGUAACGGAGGAGCACGAAGGUGGGCUAAUCACGGUUGGACAUCGUGAGGUUAGUGCAAUGGCAUAAGCCCGCUUAACUGCGAGAAUGACGGUUCGAGCAGGUGCGAAAGCAGGUCAUAGUGAUCCGGUGGUUCUGUAUGGAAGGGCCAUCGCUCAACGGAUAAAAGGUACUCCGGGGAUAACAGGCUGAUACCGCCCAAGAGUUCAUAUCGACGGCGGUGUUUGGCACCUCGAUGUCGGCUCAUCACAUCCUGGGGCUGAAGUCGGUCCCAAGGGUAUGGCUGUUCGCCAUUUAAAGUGGUACGCGAGCUGGGUUUAGAACGUCGUGAGACAGUUCGGUCCCUAUCUGCCGUGGGCGUUGGAAGAUUGAAGGGGGCUGCUCCUAGUACGAGAGGACCGGAGUGGACGAACCUCUGGUGUUCGGGUUGUGUCGCCAGACGCAUUGCCCGGUAGCUAAGUUCGGAAUUGAUAAGCGCUGAAAGCAUCUAAGCGCGAAGCGAGCCCUGAGAUGAGUCUUCCCUGAUACUUUAAGUAUCCUAAAGGGUUGUUCGAGACUAGAACGUUGAUAGGCAGGGUGUGUAAGCGUUGUGAGGCGUUGAGCUAACCUGUACUAAUUGCCCGUGAGGCUUAACCA
This 2678-nucleotide ribosomal RNA is filed under the name Vibrio cholerae. RNAcentral's name for it is "partial 23S ribosomal RNA". It matches the Rfam family "Bacterial large subunit ribosomal RNA". Lineage: Bacteria; Pseudomonadati; Pseudomonadota; Gammaproteobacteria; Vibrionales; Vibrionaceae. The record is from RNAcentral.